CUGACCUUGCAGUGAGUGGACAGUCAGCAAAAAAGAGGCAGAUCUUCAUUCCUUACAGAAACUCUGUGCUGACAUGGCUACUGAAAGACAGUCUUGGUGGAAACACCAGAACUACAAUUAUAGCAACCAUUUCUCCUGCUGAUGUGAACUACGAGGAGACCCUAACCACUCUGCGCUUUGCCAGCCGGGCUAAAAACAUAAUAAACACCCCAACAGUGAAUGAAGACAGCAGCACCAAAGUGGUCAGAGAGCUGCAGGCUGAGGUCACCAGGCUUCGAACACUUCUAGCUGAAGCCGCUCAGGUUAUUGAUGUGGAUUGGGCUACUUCUGUAAAGCAAAGGGAGAAGUUGCAAUACAAUGAAGAAAAGG
This is a long non-coding RNA of Xiphophorus hellerii (green swordtail), 369 nucleotides long. RefSeq lists it as uncharacterized. The record is from RefSeq and is a predicted model, not a curated record. The transcript is spliced from 3 exons. Lineage: Eukaryota; Metazoa; Chordata; Actinopteri; Cyprinodontiformes; Poeciliidae.